Molecule: ribosomal RNA, 407 nt
Filed under: uncultured bacterium
Lineage: Bacteria
Description: partial 16S ribosomal RNA
Rfam family: Bacterial small subunit ribosomal RNA
Source: RNAcentral
AUUGAACGCUGGCGGCAGGCCUAACACAUGCAAGUCGAGCGGAGCGGCGGACGGGUGAGUAAUGUCUAGGAAUCUGCCUGGUAGUGGGGGAUAACGUCCGGUACCGGGCGCUAAUACCGCUUACUAUCAGCUGAACCUAGGUGGGAUUAGCUAGUUGGUGGGGUAAAGGCCUACCAAGGCGACGAUCCGUAACUGGUCUGAGAGGAUGAUGAGCCACACUGGAACUGAGACACGGUCCAGACUCCUACGGGAGGCAGCAGUGGGGAAUAUUGGACAAUGGGCGAAAGCCUGAUCCAGACAUGCCGCGUGUGUGAAGAAGGUCUUCGGAUUGUAAAGCACUUUAAGUUGGGAGGCGUUACCAACAGAAUAAGCACCGGCUAACUUCGUGCCAGCAGCCGCGGUAAUUC